Molecule: long non-coding RNA, 2540 nt
Organism: Acipenser ruthenus (sterlet)
Lineage: Eukaryota; Metazoa; Chordata; Actinopteri; Acipenseriformes; Acipenseridae
Exons: 7
Source: RefSeq, a predicted model, not a curated record
ACAUAAUUGCGUUGCAGAUAUGACAUGUUAAUUCAGACUGGUCGCGCACCACUUCCAAUAUGUACUUCGUUGCGAUCUGGAAGCUUUUCCGACUGUUGUUGGGGGUGAGGGGUCAUUAACAACAUAUAGGACAACAUAUAGGUUUCACAUUUACACAAUGCAUAGUAAUUAUGCGACCUUUAUGUAAAUUGCACUCGUGUCCAGUUGUCGGAAAACAUCAAAAAAGUUUUAGAUUUUCUUAUGGAAACAAAAACAGGUUAAAACAGGCAGUUAGUUUCGCACAGUGGGAAGACACUUUUGAUAUUCGGGCAACAGGUCGUGCGCAACGCCGCAAGACAUAUUUUCUUUUCAUGUCCCUCCCCGGCUCCGUGCUUCUUUUCCGAUACUGUGACUGUUUUCAAACUAUCAACAUUUCACUUAUAGGCUACUAAUCAUUAACAGGUAUAUAAUUAAAAUAUCUGUACUGUGAAUGAUACAGUAAUGUGUGUGGUUAUGCAGAGCACUACGUUCUUUUGUGGGUGUUUAUUAUGUAACUUUAUAUAACCCUUUGUAAAUAUUCACAGCAUUAUUUGAUUACAGAGGUCUGCCUCAUGACAGGUGAAAGAGAGCAGGUACACGGGGUUUUAACCCGCGCCCUGUCAUCAGUUCGCCAAGCGGAAUCUGAAUUGAGGUCUCAUACAACUGACGAUAUAGAUGAUUUUGAUGCAGCCUCUUUUGUCAGUGAAACAAGGGCCUUGUUUAGAAGUAGAUCUGUGGACUCAUCACAAAGGACAGGAAAGAGAGGCAGAAAAAAAGGACGGCAAAGGGGACAUUUAUGGAAGACUCAUUUUUUCUUACUGCAAAAGAACAAUGAAGAAUUUGUACCACCACCGUCUGAACUAUCAAGACUGACAAGAAAUGGAUUAGAGAACAGAAGGAAGGAUGUUAAAUGAAAGCCGUCAAGUAACAGCAGGAAGCAAUGCAUCAGUGACCCAAUUGCAAGUUCAGGAGCAGGUUAUGCAACAACAUGCUACCAAUGCAAUGGCUGAUCUUCUAGAAAAUGAAACAUCAGAAAACAUCCCACAAAGGGCAGCUGAGUUUCAAUUGUCAGAAUGGACGACUCAUCCAUCAACGCCUCUCCACCACUACCUUUCUCAUAUGUAAAUGCUGACACACCAACAGUUCAGCUCCACCAGUCUGUUCUGGGAGAAAAGGAGUAGGAGCUUGAAAGAGCUUUCUCUGAACUGGAUGUGUUAUUGGAAGAAGAAGUUACAGUUGAAGUUAAAAGACACACUGUUCUAGAAGAUGUACAAAGAAUUUACAGUAAUCAAAGUAUCAUCAAUAAACGUUUACAUGUUAACUUCAUUGGGGAAGAAGGAGAUGACUUUGGUGGGUUAACAAAAUAUCUCUUUUCUUCUUUUUGGAACAGUGCUUUCAUUCAGUGGUUUAAAGGUGAGGAUGCUCUUGUCCCAUGUAUACCAGUAAAUCAAUAUGCCAAAGCGCAGGACAUUUUUUCUGUUGUUGGUAAAGUUUUGUCACAUAUGUCAGCUUAAUCAUUGCGUGCCACCCAGAUUUUGUAGAUCAACACUGCUAUCUGUUGUGUUUAAUACCUCUAUGAUUGAUAGUAGAACGCUGUUGGAUGACUUUAUGCUCCAUGUAACAGUACCUGAACGAGCCUUGCUGCAAAAGGCUUUGAAUAGUUUUGAAAAACUAAGCAUUUCUGAAAAAUCUGACUUGCUGACCUUUUAUUCUGUGAAUGGCAUGCACACAGUUCCUUCAGCUAAAGAUUUUAGAGAGCAACUGGUUCUUGUAGCACAAAAUGAACUGGUAAUAAAACCAAUGUUCUUGAAUUGCUUUAUGAGGCAGGCUAUUCCAGAGUCUCAUAUGAGAGCAUUUUGUUCACAGUUAGAUACAGACUUAAUUUCGUAGCUGUACUGGCAAGAGAUGCCUACUGCAGAACGUGUGUUGCAGUGUAUAACAACUUCUGAAAAUGACCUGUAACCUGAAGAAGAAGUUGCUUAUUACUAUUUACGUGACUUCAUCAAGUCAGUGGAUCAGGAUGAAAUGUCCAAAAUUCUGCAUUUUGUUACAGGAUCCCCAUUACUGCCAAAUGAUGGCAUUACAAUAGUAUUUAAUAGACUUUGUGGUAGCCUGAGGAGACCUAUUGCACACACUUGUAGCAAUACACUAGAGAUACCAGUAAGCUGUGCUUCAUUACAGGACUUCAAACGAGAAAUGAAAUCCAUUCUAAAUUCAGAGAAUGCAUUUAUGACAAUGAUUUAAGGUAGUGGUUAGAAUCACAGCAGCUAUAUCUGAAGUCAAGUGACGUGAAGAAUCAUUUGACAAGGGAUGUUUUUAUAUAAAAAAAAAAUAUUUUACUUGUAAAUGCCCAACUACUUAAGCCUGCUUCUUUCAUAAUGAUCUGUAAAGCCUUGAUAACAUGACUUCCCAGGAACACCACAGCGUAAAGCCUAUUAAAAAAGGAGGGUCAGCAAUCAUUUGAGAUAAAAUUUAUAGUUUUCUGUUCCAAUUCCCUUUUAAUCCAUUCCAAUUACUUUUAU